AGGGCCGCACUUGCAGCAUAUGGAAGUUCCCAGGCUAGGGGUCUAAUCGAAGCUACUGCUGCCAGCCUACACCACAGCCACAGCAAUGCCAGAUCUGAGCUGCAUCUGCAACCUAUACCACAGCUCACAGCAACACUGGAUCCUUAACGCACUGAGCGAAGCCAGGGAUGGAACCUACAACCUCAUGGUUCCUAAUCGGAUUCUUUUGUGCUACACCAUGACGGGAACUCCCCCAUUUGAAUUCUUAUUGGUAAGGAUAAGUGUGUGAAAAAUGGAUGAAUGGCUGGCUGGCUGACUGGCUGGCUGGCUGGCUGGCUUGAUGGGUGGAUAAAUAAUGCCUCCUUAAAUGGUUUGUUUAUAGUAUUCAAUAGAAUAAUAUAUAUAAAAGAACCAAGCACAGAAUCAAGUUUGGUUAAAUGUUAGUCCACUUCCCUUUUUUUCUCUAUUAGUCUCCGUGCAGUAUUCCAUCCCUAUUUCCAGCCAUGGAAUGUCAAGGUCAAACCAUGGAAGGAUCAUGUAUUCCACUCUGUUGAAUUUGUACCUAACAUCACAGGCAAGGGGGAGGUACUUGACUCUGGGUCUUUUGUUUAGGAGAGAUGCUCUUGGCCAAUGUGUUAGGAAUUAAUUCUGGGGGUGAGAUCCCAGGACCCAAGAGGCUGCCUGCAGGUGUUAGAUAGGCAGGGGUGGGGCUUGCAAGGGGAACAGGUAAGGAUAUUCUGAGCCUGCACUGGAAUGAUGUGGACAAGGGACAAAUGUGAGGAUGAAUUUCCAGGCAGAACCAGUGGGCUGACAGGGGGAGUGGGACAGAGACCACCUUCUUGCUUGGCCUCAGCCUCUCAAAUUCUGCCAAAGUCUGAGGCAAAAGUGUCCUUUAGGUCUUUUUUUUUUUUUUGACACUGAAGGCAGAAAUAAUUUAAGUUUUGAUAGCUGAAAGCUCGCAACAAGUCCUGGCAUAGCAAGCUUCCAGCGCCUUUAAUCACUAAUGUCCUAGUGAGUAUGUACCUCUAUGGAGAAGGCGGAAAUGCCAAAGAGCAGAACUCCCCACGAGGAGACUAUUUUAAAAGGUACUUUUUUAAAAAGCCCGUUUUGUGGAAGAAACCAGCUGUCUCUUAAUUGCUAUCUGCACUGUGGUUUCUCCCGGGGGUUGGAGAGGGGAGUGGAUUAAAGAAAAAGUUUUGAAGGCCAUAGGCAUGCAUAUCCAAAUGAUAUGAAUUUUAAUAUGUACUUUUUAAAGGGUUAGGCAAUGAUGGAAAGAUAUGACAUUUUUUUCUUCUAUUUCUCUGUUCAAUUAAAAUUCCUACAAAAGUGCAGUGGCUACCUCUUUGGAAACACUGCAGAAUCUUAAACUUCGCAAAGAUGUUUAUCUUUCCCCGUCAUACAUCUAUGCCUAAGCCUUUGGAUGUGGGAGCCCAGGCUCCAAGUCAAUGGUGUGGCAAAGGCUUUGCACAUGUUUCCAAAGGUAGCUGGCUUGGAAUGAGCACCCUUCCAGUUAGGAAAGAAGCCACCAAGUUAUCUAAAUGAAACAGAAAGAUGCAUGAACUAUUCUCCUCACCCCAACUAGACAAGAAGGCUGAGCUCUCAAAACUUUAUCCAUAGUCCAUCAUUUAAGACUUUUCAAAUUAUCGACUAUAGCACUGCCUUUAAAAGAAAAUCAUUCCAAAAUAACGUAAAUCUCAUUCCCUUCUCAAGCCAUGCUUCUGAAUAGAACAGGCAAAAGGCAUGCAUCUAGAGUGUCAAAGAAAUGAAUCCCCAGUUUAUUGCUACUAUUCAUCUUGGUGAGUAAAUGGCCUCCAUACUAUUCUUCAUUCAUUAAAAAUGGUUCAUUUCCUUUGGCCUUUAUUCAUUGCCUAAUAUUCCUAAUGAACUUAAUGUAGCAAGUGAUGUAAUCAGACAAAAGAACUGUAAGAACCCUUUUCUGCCACUAUAAGCAGAAUUAAAUCAUAUUUAAUUAGGAAUUUAGUCUUUACCAAAAGUCUCCAUUAACUAUUCAUCACCCACACUGCUGUCUAUUCUCAGCAUCACUUCUCUCUCCUGCUGAAGUAGGAGAAAACCAGCAGUUCUGCGGCUUAGUUUUCCAUGUUGGACACAACCAUGAACCAAGCAGGUGCCUAACUAGUCCCUGCCAUGGUUAGUCACUGCACUGGCUGCCCCUUAAUCCUCCACAGCCAAGAUUACCCAGAGUGGUGUACAUGAGAGAGGAAAGAGGUAUGCCAGUGGUACCUGCUUCAUAACUAGAGCAGAGGGGACAGUCCGGCAAAACUGGGAAGAGUCCAGAGACAAUGACGUCUGGAUAUAUUUUGCUAAAAAUAUUCAUGGCACCGUAGCGAGGGUGAGAGAAUUCUACUUCCAGAAAGGGAAACUGAAAAUACAAAAAGGUGGUGAAUAAAAAAAAUCUGCAUCCCCUAAAAGCAUUAAGGAUUUCAAGAGGAGCAAACCACAGCUGGAGUGCCUGCCUGAAAGGUACGUCAGGCUCGAGAGUUUGUGCCAGACCCCAGAGGAGCAGGAAAGGCCUACGGGAUGUGUUCUGCCUUUGUUUGGUUUUGCUUUCUUAGCUAAAAUAAACAUGAGGGAAAAGGGGUUUUGAGAAACACGAUUUGGUACGAAAUAGUGCAGCUGGAGAAACAAUGAUCAUUCUGCAGCUGUCGGGUCAGGAGGCAGUCAGGUCCUGGACCAAGGUAGUAACAGCGAGGUACUGAGAAGGGGCUUUUGCAAGGGGCCCAAGGAGGAAGAACUGAUGAUGAGUCAGAGAUAAUUAUGGAGGUAGGAAAGGACAAAGAUGGGUAAAAACUGCCAGAUGCAUUUUGAACUGAUUCUUGCCCUCACCAUGUCUCUCCUUCCUCCCCAUCGACCAGGCUGCAGCCCCACAUCACCUUUCCUACACUGUCAUCUCAGAGCCACUCAGUGAGCAAGGCGCUCACCCCACUAAGCUCAUGCAGCACAUGGCCACAUGGCAUCUCUUCUUAGAUGGUCUCUGAACAGGUUUCCUAUUCAAUGUGGAUGCGACUAGAGAUUCUCAUACUAAGUGCAAUAAGUCAGAAAGAGAAAUACAAAUACCAUAUGAUGUCACUUAUAUGUGGAAUCUACAUUAUGGCACAAAUGAAACUAUCUACAAAACAGAAACAGACUCACAGACAUAGAGGAUGGACUUGUAGUUGCCAAGAGGGAGGGGGAGGAAGUGGGAUGGACUGGGAGUUUGGGGUUAGUAGACGCAAACUGUUACAUUUAGAAUGGAUAAGCCAUGAAGUCCUACCAUACAGCACAGGGAACUAUAUCCAGUUUCUUGGGAUAGACCUUGAUGGAAGAUAAGAAAGGGAAUGUGUAUCUAUCUAUCUAUCUAUCAAUCUAUAUAUCUAUAUAUUUAUCUAUAUCUAUCUCUAUGUCUGUCUGUCUGUCUGUCUAUCUAUCUAUCUAUCUAUGACUGGGUCACUCUGCUGUAUAGCAGAAAUUGGCACAACAGUGUAAAUCAACUAUACUUUAAAAGAAAAGAAAAAAAAAAGGAUUUGGCACAAUAGUGGUCUUCAAGUAUUUUCAAUAAGGGCUAAAGUCCUGGUUAAGUGAAUAAAAUCUCUCCUUUUUAGAAGUGCUCAAGAGUGACUCAAAAUGAUCAUUUUCUGUCCAGAGAUGCUUUCUGAUAAAGGUCAAACAAGCGUAAACCAAAAAAACUCUCCAUUUGAUUUGACAUUUCUAAAGAGAGCUGAGAAUCUUGGUCGAUGAUAACCUCCACUUUCCUUGUUCUGCUUCAUCAUCAGACCAUCAGGCAGGUACAAGACUUCUCACAGGUUUCAAAUAUGCAUUAUGUUGAGUUUUCUCAUUUAGUCAUGGGUAAAGGUAAUUUCUCACCAGGAAGAGGCCAAAUAUCAACCACUGGUUUGCAUAAAGGACAAACUCCCUAGGAUGCUACUCAUGCUCUGUGUCCAGUAAUAUAAUCUGUCUCAUGCUUGAAGGACACACUUGAAAUAAUUUUAUAUGGUGCUCACAUAUUAAUAAGCUAGUGGGAGCUCAAUGCACAGUCAAUUCUUCUGACUCUGGCAGAUCAUAUUUUAAGGUUUAUUAAGGGACAAGAGUAACUUGACAAUUGUGGCACAAGCAUCUCAAGUAUUUAGUUGAUAUCUCAAUAUUCUCUAUGUAUCUUAGAAGUCAAGAGACCUUAAGACUUGAAAAACACUACUCAGGCCCACUCCAGAUUAAGCUUGAAAAAGAGAAAUCUUGAACUGGUACCAAAGUGGUUGAGCAUCAGGAAUGAAUAGUAAAGCGUUCCCAUUGUGGCUCAGUGGGGUAAGAACCUAACUGGUAUCCAUGAGGUUGCAGGUUUGAUCCCUAGCCUCAGUGGAUUAGGGAUCCAGUGCUGCUGUGAGCUAUGGCAUAGGUUGUAGAUGUGGCUUAGAUCUGGCAUUUCUGUGUCUGUGGUGUAGGCCAGCAGCUGCAGCUCCAGUUCCACCCCUAGCCUGGGAAUUUCUACAUGCCACAAGUAGGAAGCCAAAGAAGAAGAAGAAAAAAAGAAAUGGAUAGUAAAAAUUUGCAGUUUCCUGGACAAAUCAAGCCUUUACCUCAUAGUUUUUAUUACUCUAGAUAAAGUUAAUUCAUCUAAUCAAACAGUGGCUGCAAAUGUAUUUAAAUAUAGGACACUUUCCAAAGCAAAACCAAAUUUAAAAAAUUAUGAAUCAUGCUCGAUUACCCAUGCAUUAAAUUUAAUUCAUCUCUGCAGAUAAUCUGGAUUUGACCAGCAGAGAGGAAAACGAUCCUAGAAUAUAUGGAUGCUGGAGGACCGCAAAAGGGCUGGUCUCCUUCCUCACAGGUGCCAAACCCUAGGAGGGAAUGAAUAAAGAAAAAAAGCCCCAAGGAGCUGAUUAAUGGGCAUCUCUUCCAGAGUGAUUCCUACCCCACCCCUGCCUGUGUGACCAUUAUGGACUUAUUAACAUUAAAGCAAUGCUAUUCAAACAGGUAUCAAAACAUUUUAAUUUGAUGGAACGCUGGAUGAAAUAUCAUUGCAACCUCUCAGCAAACUGAAACAAGCUGAGAUAAUUGCACUGCCAUGGAGAAGAGACUCAGCCUCCAGAUGCCACUUAAGGCCCUGAGUUUUGUCUUCUAAAAUUGCAUUAUUUGAUGUAAUAAUGGCCUAAUGUUGUGCUCAGAAUCAGCUCCCCCUGUAUUGUGGUACCCAGUGGAUGAUGGCAUUCCCUCUGCUCCAUUACAUCUUCCCAGGCUUAAUAUUAGCAUCAGUGACAAAGCCCAAGCUGAGGAGCUCCUGUCACUUACUGGCACUUCCUGGGGCAGCCCUGGUUCACCGAGGGCAGGGAGGGAGUGAGGGGUAAGAGACCAACAGGGUGGAGGCCAGAGGCCUGUCUCUCCAAAGAAUCAAGAGCUGGAACAAGAAAGUAACUUGAGAAAAGGUAUCAAACACAAGAGCCCAUCAAGGACAGAUGGCCAAACCAAAGUGAAGCCAUGUUGAGAAAAUAUAUGAAACCCUUCUUUUGCAUGUUUCUUCUUGCAUGUCUUUUCCAUUUCUGAAAAUAAAAGUGAAUAUCCUACUUUCUGAAUUUAGCUACCUUUUCCUUAUAUGCUACAUGCUAUAUCACAUCCUCCCGUGCCUUCAAUUUUUUUCAAUGGGACAGAAGGAAAUAUAGCAGUGCCUGCCUUCAGCAAGCUCAUCGCCAUGUUGGGGAUCCCAUGACUCUUCAUGUGAGAAGUGAGGUGGGCAUCUAAGGCGGUGUGCGGUCACCACAGUCAUUUACAGAAAGCCACUCCCUGAAGGUGACAGCAUGUGUAUGAAUGUCUAGGAAUUGAGGGAACAAGAGUGCCACAGUCCAGCAGGUAAAUCCAGGAAGUUUUAUUUGAAUAUAGUCACGCUCUCUUUUCCCAUGUUCAGUACCAAGGCCAUCUACUAAAUGUUCCCAAGGAUAGAUCUGGGACCUCAAGGAGGACACUGGGUUCUUUUAAACCACAACAAACUCUCUCCUCUUGCUUAUUUAGUUCUAUACGCUGUAGGGGCCUGGUAGGUGGCAGAGUUAUUAUAUCAAGACUUUUUUUUAACUAUAACCAUGCAUCUCAGUCUCCCAAAUUCCUCAGCAUUUCCACUCACAGAUGUUUCUUUUCUCAGCCUGUCCCCAUGAACCAGAAUGUCUUCUCCUUCUUUAAAUACACUGACUAGACGGGAGGCUCCU
Molecule: long non-coding RNA, 6161 nt
Filed under: Sus scrofa (pig)
Lineage: Eukaryota; Metazoa; Chordata; Mammalia; Artiodactyla; Suidae
Description: lncRNA (ENSSSCG00055007754.1)
Source: RNAcentral